RNAcentral lists this unclassified non-coding RNA (290 nucleotides) under uncultured Sebacina. Its description in RNAcentral is "sequence contains 5.8S rRNA gene". Lineage: Eukaryota; Fungi; Basidiomycota; Agaricomycetes; Sebacinales; Sebacinaceae. The record is from RNAcentral.
GAACGCACCUUGCACCCUUUGGUAUUCCGAAGGGUACACCCGUUUGAGUGUCAUUGUAAUCUCACUCCCUAAACUUCUUGUAGGGGAUGUGGAAUUGGAUGCUGUCGUUUUGUGACUCAUCUGGAAUGCUUCAGUGUACCCCGCUUGUCGGCGUAACAGUGUGAUAAGUAUCUUCACUGGUAGUCUCUUCGGAGGCGCGCUCUCAGAUGGGCUUCUAUGCUUACAACCGUCUUUGGACAACAACUGACAAUUUGACCUCAAAUCGGGUGGGACUACCCGCUGAACUUAAG